Molecule: ribosomal RNA, 496 nt
Filed under: uncultured bacterium
Lineage: Bacteria
Description: partial 16S ribosomal RNA
Rfam family: Bacterial small subunit ribosomal RNA
Source: RNAcentral
GACGAACGCUGGCGGCGUGCCUAAUACAUGCAAGUUGAGCGCUGAAGGUUGGUACUUGUACCGACUGGAUGAGCAGCGAACGGGUGAGUAACGCGUGGGGAAUCUGCCUUUGAGCGGGGGACAACAUUUGGAAACGAAUGCUAAUACCGCAUAAAAACUUUAAACACAAGUUUUAAGUUUGAAAGAUGCAAUUGCAUCACUCAAAGAUGAUCCCGCGUUGUAUUAGCUAGUUGGUGAGGUAAAGGCUCACCAAGGCGAUGAUACAUAGCCGACCUGAGAGGGGGAUGGGCCACAUUGGGACGGAGACACGGCCCAAACUCCCCCGGGAGGCAGCAGUAGGGAAUUUUCGGCAAUGGACGAAAGUUUGACCGAGCAACCCCGCGGGGGGGAAAAAGGUUUUCGGAUGGUAAAACCCUUUUGGUAGGGAAAAACGUUGGGGGGAGUGAAAAGCCCUUAAAGUGGGGGAAACUACCCAGAAAGGAACGGCAAACUACGU